GAGAGAGAAUGAAGAGCACAGAGGGGAAAUAAAUUGCCUAACCUUCGCAGAUGACUUCCUCGUCUUCAUGUUUGACCAGGAUACCAAAACAUGGCCGCCAUGUUACGCCUUGUUGAAAGAGAAUAAAAAAGCGGUCUGCUCCGCUUCACUUCCUUAUUAUGAUGUGAUUCAGUCCACAGAUCUCCACACUGAGCCCCAACAGAGACACAAUCAUUUUUAACACUUUUUUUCUCGCUCCCAUUAUCUGUCCCCAACAAUAGCUGCAACCCAACACCACUCUUCCCAUUGCUCUGACGGUGGAACCGGUCUAUGGAGUUUCUGAGGGGACUGAGCCAUAUCAUUGCAGCUCAGGCCAUGCAAACAGCAAGAGGGCCCCAUUCAGAACGUGCUCUGAUGGACGUGGUGCCACUUGAAGAGGACAUGCCUGACUUGGCUGUCCCUGACAACCGUCUGUGUUUGCCAGGUGAAGCAUUUAGGGGCUGUGCAGUCGUUUUUGUCACGGUCUGCUCUGUUACCAUUUCCUCGCUGCAGGGCUUUCUCUGUAUGCCACCAUGGCUAGCUCCCCGCUCGCUAGCUCCACGCCUGAACAGGUAGCCUCAGGAAGGUAGCCGUGCAUAAAGGUCCAUCCCCUUUCUUUCUUUCUGCGCUGUUUCUCACAUUUAAUUAUCUGGUUUAUUCUCGUCCCGUGGGUGAGAGGAGACAGGAAUUGCUCCUUACACCUUCUUGCCAUGGAGAGCCGUUGAUUGUUCUCACAAAAGCCCACAGUGGAGUGAAUGAAAGGGCACCUUCUUGUUUCACAUCACAUAUUAGACUGCUGCAUGCUGGCUCAAGUGUUCGCGAGCGCUGGACCCUUGUUUGGAGUCAAUGAGGAGAGCAUUUCAGCCGUGUCACCCAAGAAUCUCAAAGAAUGGGAGGAAAUCUUUAUUUGAGACCCACUGUUCUGAAAACCAGCCCUUUUCUCCCUCUUUCCCUCUACUGAUUGAGCUGAACUUUGAGCCAGGUUUUCGUCCUUUAAGAAAUCGGAUGUCAUGUCUAUUCACUUUUCUCUACGCUGUGCUUAACGACAGAAAAUACUGUUUUAUUACUUUACUUGUGUGGUAUUGGACAUGAUUACUGAGAGAGAACAAAUAAUUAGCAACAGGGCUUAGCCAUUUCAUUUAUAAAGUAAAGGGAACACAGAACAUUAUCAAGUAGUAAGUGCAAGAAGCCUUACAGUGACAAGAAUAGACUACAUAUCAAUUACUAUUCACAUUUUAGAUAUUAGGACUAAUAUUGUUUUUCAUAUUAUUUUUUGGGGAUUUUUUUGUGGCACUAGUGGCCCUUUUUAUUGAAAACAAGUUGACAGGAAGGGCGGUCCUAAGAGAGGGAGAAGAUAUGCAGCAAAAGACAACGGAUCACAGUCGAACCUGGGUCAGCCGCAUUGAGGAUGAAGGCCUCUGCACACGAGCUGCGCACUUUACUCCAGUGCCACCGGUGCGCCCAAGGACCGUGUAGACUUCAACAGAGAACAACGAUUUUUUUUUGUUUGCUGUUUUUGUUCUCUUUUUUUCUGAUUAUUUUGCUUGAAAAUUAUUCAUCCAAGGGAAGUCCAUCUCACGAGGCGCUAUCCUGUUGCUGUGAUUAUCUUAUUCUGUCUGGUGAAAUAAUAAUAUAGGCUAUAAAUCUAGGAAGAAACUGCUUGAAACCCUGUAUGUAUACAGCAUAUGUAUAUGUUGAUGUAUAGAAGUAAAUCACACUUGAGGUAUAACUUGGUUGCAUUGUGGAUGUGUCAGCUGCUUUUUUAUUGUGGCAUGUGGCAGUAUUUUGGAUACUUGGUGGGAAAAAAAAGCAGUGAUAGAGAAAAAGACAAACACGGAAUAAUGUAUAACCACUGUUAGAGUACUGAAACUGUAAUUUGCUGUUAGUGGCAAAUGAUGCUAAAGCAUCUGCUUUAUAUCAGCACCAGACUAAUGGGCUAUAUCUUUGAUUAUCCUCAGAUAAAUA
This is a long non-coding RNA of Fundulus heteroclitus (mummichog), 1983 nucleotides long. RefSeq lists it as uncharacterized. Lineage: Eukaryota; Metazoa; Chordata; Actinopteri; Cyprinodontiformes; Fundulidae. The transcript has 2 exons. The record is from RefSeq and is a predicted model, not a curated record.